RNAcentral lists this ribosomal RNA (460 nucleotides) under uncultured bacterium. Its description in RNAcentral is "partial 16S ribosomal RNA". It matches the Rfam family "Bacterial small subunit ribosomal RNA", at positions 338 to 795 of the family's 1533-position model. The record is from RNAcentral.
CCUACGGGAGUCAGCAGUGAGGAAUAUUGGUCAAUGGGCGGAAGCCUGAACCAGCCAAGUAGCGUGCAGGCUGACGGCCCUACGGGUUGUAAACUGCUUUUAUACGGGAAUAACGCGCCUUACGUGUAGGGCUUUGCAUGUACCGUAUGAAUAAGGACCGGUUAAUUCCGUGCAAGCAGCCGCGGUAAUACGGAAGGUCCGGGCGUUAGCCGGAUUUAUUGGGUUUAAAGGGAGCGUAGGCCGCAUGUCAAGCGUGCUGUGAAAUGUCCGGGCUCAACCCGGGCCUUGCAGCGCGAACGGGCGUGCUUGAGUCCGCGGAAAGCAGGCGGAAUUCGUCGGGUAGCGGUGAAAUGCUUAGAUAUGACGAAGAACCCCGAUUGCGAAGGCAGCUUGCUGCAGCGUAACUGACGCUGAUGCUCGAAAGCGCGGGUAUCGAACAGGAUUAGAUACCCCAGUAGUC